RNAcentral lists this ribosomal RNA (460 nucleotides) under uncultured bacterium. Its description in RNAcentral is "partial 16S ribosomal RNA". It matches the Rfam family "Bacterial small subunit ribosomal RNA", at positions 338 to 795 of the family's 1533-position model. The record is from RNAcentral.
CCUACGGGUGGCAGCAGUGAGGAAUAUUGGUCAAUGGACGGGAGACUGAACCAGCCAAGUAGCGUGAAGGAGGACUGUCCUAUGUAUUGUAAACUUCUUUUAUCUGGGAAUAAAACGUUCCACGCGUGGGCUUUUGUAUGUACCAUAUGAAUAAGGAUCGGCUAACUCCGUGCCAGCAGCCGCGGUAAUACGGCGGAUCCGAGCGUUAUCCGGCUUUAUUGGGUUUAAAGGGAGCUUAGGUGGAUUUUUAAGGCAGUUGUGAAAGUGUGCGGCUCAACCGUAAAAUUGCAGGUGAAACUGGCAGUCUUGAGUACAGUAGAGGUGGGCGGAAUUCGUGGUGUAGCGGUGAAAUGCUUAGAUAUCGCGCAGAACUCCGAUUGCGAAGGCAGUUCACUGGACUGAAACUGACACUGAGGCACGAAAGUGUGGGUAUCAAACAGGAGUAGAUACCCUGGUAGUC